AGCGUACACGGUGGAUGCCCUGGCAGUCAGAGGCGAUGAAGGACGUGCUAAUCUGCGAUAAGCGUCGGUAAGGUGAUAUGAACCGUUAUAACCGGCGAUUUCCGAAUGGGGAAACCCAGUGUGAUUCGUCACACUAUCAUUAACUGAAUCCAUAGGUUAAUGAGGCGAACCGGGGGAACUGAAACAUCUAAGUACCCCGAGGAAAAGAAAUCAACCGAGAUUCCCCCAGUAGCGGCGAGCGAACGGGGAGCAGCCCAGAGCCUGAAUCAGUGUGUGUGUUAGUGGAAGCGUCUGGAAAGGCGCGCGAUACAGGGUGACAGCCCCGUACACAAAAAUGCACAUGCUGUGAGCUCGAUGAGUAGGGCGGGACACGUGGUAUCCUGUCUGAAUAUGGGGGGACCAUCCUCCAAGGCUAAAUACUCCUGACUGACCGAUAGUGAACCAGUACCGUGAGGGAAAGGCGAAAAGAACCCCGGCGAGGGGAGUGAAAAAGAACCUGAAACCGUGUACGUACAAGCAGUGGGAGCACGCUUAGGCGUGUGACUGCGUACCUUUUGUAUAAUGGGUCAGCGACUUAUAUUCUGUAGCAAGGUUAACCGAAUAGGGGAGCCGAAGGGAAACCGAGUCUUAACUGGGCGUUAAGUUGCAGGGUAUAGACCCGAAACCCGGUGAUCUAGCCAUGGGCAGGUUGAAGGUUGGGUAACACUAACUGGAGGACCGAACCGACUAAUGUUGAAAAAUUAGCGGAUGACUUGUGGCUGGGGGUGAAAGGCCAAUCAAACCGGGAGAUAGCUGGUUCUCCCCGAAAGCUAUUUAGGUAGCGCCUCGUGAACUCAUCUCCGGGGGUAGAGCACUGUUUCGGCAAGGGGGUCAUCCCGACUUACCAACCCGAUGCAAACUGCGAAUACCGGAGAAUGUUAUCACGGGAGACACACGGCGGGUGCUAACGUCCGUCGUGAAGAGGGAAACAACCCAGACCGCCAGCUAAGGUCCCAAAGUCAUGGUUAAGUGGGAAACGAUGUGGGAAGGCCCAGACAGCCAGGAUGUUGGCUUAGAAGCAGCCAUCAUUUAAAGAAAGCGUAAUAGCUCACUGGUCGAGUCGGCCUGCGCGGAAGAUGUAACGGGGCUAAACCAUGCACCGAAGCUGCGGCAGCGACGCUUAUGCGUUGUUGGGUAGGGGAGCGUUCUGUAAGCCUGUGAAGGUGUGCUGUGAGGCAUGCUGGAGGUAUCAGAAGUGCGAAUGCUGACAUAAGUAACGAUAAAGCGGGUGAAAAGCCCGCUCGCCGGAAGACCAAGGGUUCCUGUCCAACGUUAAUCGGGGCAGGGUGAGUCGACCCCUAAGGCGAGGCCGAAAGGCGUAGUCGAUGGGAAACAGGUUAAUAUUCCUGUACUUGGUGUUACUGCGAAGGGGGGACGGAGAAGGCUAUGUUGGCCGGGCGACGGUUGUCCCGGUUUAAGCGUGUAGGCUGGUUUUCCAGGCAAAUCCGGAAAAUCAAGGCUGAGGCGUGAUGACGAGGCACUACGGUGCUGAAGCAACAAAUGCCCUGCUUCCAGGAAAAGCCUCUAAGCAUCAGGUAACAUCAAAUCGUACCCCAAACCGACACAGGUGGUCAGGUAGAGAAUACCAAGGCGCUUGAGAGAACUCGGGUGAAGGAACUAGGCAAAAUGGUGCCGUAACUUCGGGAGAAGGCACGCUGAUAUGUAGGUGAAGUCCCUCGCGGAUGGAGCUGAAAUCAGUCGAAGAUACCAGCUGGCUGCAACUGUUUAUUAAAAACACAGCACUGUGCAAACACGAAAGUGGACGUAUACGGUGUGACGCCUGCCCGGUGCCGGAAGGUUAAUUGAUGGGGUCAGCGCAAGCGAAGCUCUUGAUCGAAGCCCCGGUAAACGGCGGCCGUAACUAUAACGGUCCUAAGGUAGCGAAAUUCCUUGUCGGGUAAGUUCCGACCUGCACGAAUGGCGUAAUGAUGGCCAGGCUGUCUCCACCCGAGACUCAGUGAAAUUGAACUCGCUGUGAAGAUGCAGUGUACCCGCGGCAAGACGGAAAGACCCCGUGAACCUUUACUAUAGCUUGACACUGAACAUUGAGCCUUGAUGUGUAGGAUAGGUGGGAGGCUUAGAAGUGUGGACGCCAGUCUGCAUGGAGCCGACCUUGAAAUACCACCCUUUAAUGUUUGAUGUUCUAACGUUGACCCGUAAUCCGGGUUGCGGACAGUGUCUGGUGGGUAGUUUGACUGGGGCGGUCUCCUCCUAAAGAGUAACGGAGGAGCACGAAGGUUGGCUAAUCCUGGUCGGACAUCAGGAGGUUAGUGCAAUGGCAUAAGCCAGCUUGACUGCGAGCGUGACGGCGCGAGCAGGUGCGAAAGCAGGUCAUAGUGAUCCGGUGGUUCUGAAUGGAAGGGCCAUCGCUCAACGGAUAAAAGGUACUCCGGGGAUAACAGGCUGAUACCGCCCAAGAGUUCAUAUCGACGGCGGUGUUUGGCACCUCGAUGUCGGCUCAUCACAUCCUGGGGCUGAAGUAGGUCCCAAGGGUAUGGCUGUUCGCCAUUUAAAGUGGUACGCGAGCUGGGUUUAGAACGUCGUGAGACAGUUCGGUCCCUAUCUGCCGUGGGCGCUGGAGAACUGAGGGGGGCUGCUCCUAGUACGAGAGGACCGGAGUGGACGCAUCACUGGUGUUCGGGUUGUCAUGCCAAUGGCACUGCCCGGUAGCUAAAUGCGGAAGAGAUAAGUGCUGAAAGCAUCUAAGCACGAAACUUGCCCCGAGAUGAGUUCUCCCUGACUCCUUGA
This 2787-nucleotide ribosomal RNA is filed under the name Escherichia coli. RNAcentral's name for it is "bacterial LSU rRNA". It matches the Rfam family "Bacterial large subunit ribosomal RNA". Lineage: Bacteria; Pseudomonadati; Pseudomonadota; Gammaproteobacteria; Enterobacterales; Enterobacteriaceae. The record is from RNAcentral.